CCUACGGGGGGCAGCAGUGAGGAAUAUUGGUCAAUGGACGAGAGUCUGAACCAGCCAAGUAGCGUGAAGGAUGACUGCCCUAUGGGUUGUAAACUUCUUUUAUAUGGGAAUAAAAUGUUCCACGUGUGGGAUUUUGUAUGUACCCUAUGAAUAAGGCUCGGCUAACUCCGUGACAGCAGCCGCGGUAAUACGGAGGAUCCGCGCGUUAUCCGGAUUUAUUGGGUUUAAAGGGAGCGUAGGUGGAUGUUUAAGUCAGUUGUGAAAGUUUGCGGCUCAACCGUAAAAUUGCAGUUGAAACUGGCAGUCUGGAGUACAGUAGAGGUGGGUGGAAUUCGUGGUGUAGCGGUGAAAUGCGUAGAUAUCACGAAGAACUCCGAUGGCGAAGGCAGUUCACUGGACUGAAACUGACACUGAGGCUCGAAAGUGUGGGUAUCAAACAGGAUUAGAUACCCUUGUAGUC
This 460-nucleotide ribosomal RNA is filed under the name uncultured bacterium. RNAcentral describes it as "partial 16S ribosomal RNA". It matches the Rfam family "Bacterial small subunit ribosomal RNA", at positions 338 to 795 of the family's 1533-position model. The record is from RNAcentral.